RNAcentral lists this ribosomal RNA (119 nucleotides) under Salmo salar (Atlantic salmon). Lineage: Eukaryota; Metazoa; Chordata; Actinopteri; Salmoniformes; Salmonidae. The record is from RNAcentral.
GCUUACGGCCAUACCAGCCUGGGUACGCCCGAUCUCGUCUGAUCUCGGAAGCUAAGCAUGGUCGGGCCUGGUUAGUACUUGGAUGGGAGACCGCCUGGGAAUACCAGGUGCUGUAAGCA